This 122-nucleotide non-coding RNA is filed under the name Clunio marinus. RNAcentral's name for it is "Eukaryotic large subunit ribosomal RNA". It matches the Rfam family "Eukaryotic large subunit ribosomal RNA", at positions 2128 to 2250 of the family's 3401-position model. The record is from Rfam by way of RNAcentral. Lineage: Eukaryota; Metazoa; Arthropoda; Insecta; Diptera; Chironomidae.
GGGAAUCCGACUGUCUAAUUAAAACAAAGCAUUGUGAUGGCCCUCGCGGGUGUUGACACAAUGUGAUUUCUUCCCAGUGCUCUGAAUGUCAACGUGAAGAAAGUCAAGCAAGCGCGGGUAAA